CACUAUCGUUAACUGAAUACAUAGGUUAACGAGGCGAACCGGGGGAACUGAAACAUCUAAGUACCCCGAGGAAAAGAAAUCAACCGAGAUUCCCCCAGUAGCGGCGAGCGAACGGGGAGCAGCCCAGAGUCUGAAUCAGCUUGUGUGUUAGUGGAACGGUCUGGAAAGUCCGACGGUACAGGGUGAUAGUCCCGUACACCAAAAUGCACAGGCUGUGAACUCGAAGAGUAGGGCGGGACACGUGGUAUCCUGUCUGAAUAUGGGGGGACCAUCCUCCAAGGCUAAAUACUCCUGACUGACCGAUAGUGAACCAGUACCGUGAGGGAAAGGCGAAAAGAACCCCGGCGAGGGGAGUGAAAAAGAACCUGAAACCGUGUACGUACAAGCAGUGGGAGCACCUUCGGGUGUGACUGCGUACCUUUUGUAUAAUGGGUCAGCGACUUAUAUUCUGUAGCAAGGUUAACCGUAUAGGGGAGCCGCAGGGAAACCGAGUCUUAACUGGGCGUUAAGUUGCAGGGUAUAGACCCGAAACCCGGUGAUCUAGCCAUGGGCAGGUUGAAGGUUGGGUAACACUAACUGGAGGACCGAACCGACUAAUGUUGAAAAAUUAGCGGAUGACUUGUGGCUGGGGGUGAAAGGCCAAUCAAACCGGGAGAUAGCUGGUUCUCCCCGAAAGCUAUUUAGGUAGCGCCUCGUGAAUUCAUCUUCGGGGGUAGAGCACUGUUUCGGCUAGGGGGUCAUCCCGACUUACCAACCCGAUGCAAACUACGAAUACCGAAGAAUGUUAUCACGGGAGACACACGGCGGGUGCUAACGUCCGUCGUGAAGAGGGAAACAACCCAGACCGCCAGCUAAGGUCCCAAAGUCAUGGUUAAGUGGGAAACGAUGUGGGAAGGCACAGACAGCCAGGAUGUUGGCUUAGAAGCAGCCAUCAUUUAAAGAA
RNAcentral lists this ribosomal RNA (943 nucleotides) under Klebsiella pneumoniae. Its description in RNAcentral is "partial 23S ribosomal RNA". It matches the Rfam family "Bacterial large subunit ribosomal RNA", at positions 146 to 1130 of the family's 2925-position model. The record is from RNAcentral. Lineage: Bacteria; Pseudomonadati; Pseudomonadota; Gammaproteobacteria; Enterobacterales; Enterobacteriaceae.